GGUCCGAUGGCGUAGUUGGUUAUCGCAUCUGUCUAACACUUCAUCGGUAGUUCGAAUCUCGUCGAGGUCCGAACCACCGAUGACCUUCCACAGAAGGUCCUGAGUUCGAGCCUCAGCCGGAUCA
Plicaturopsis crispa FD-325 SS-3 is the source of this 124-nucleotide non-coding RNA. Lineage: Eukaryota; Fungi; Basidiomycota; Agaricomycetes; Amylocorticiales; Amylocorticiaceae. The record is from the annotation of a GenBank genome assembly.